GGACCAAACAGUAUGGCUGAGACUUAAGCGUUGCAACAUUCAAAGCUGACCGUUAGCAGAUACCCACAGUGCACGCGGCAGCUCUGGAGGGCUCUGGGGGCAGCAGGGGGCUCCCCCCUCAACCACACCUCCUGUAUUAUAAGGACUCAGGUCCUCCUUCAGACACCUUGUUUCUAUCGAAACUGACCUUGAUUGCGGGCUCUUGACAUUUGGAAUCUUUAAAACCAUGAGGAAAAACCAACACGGGUGUGAGAAAUACCCUUUAAAACCGGUAAAUUAACUUACUUCAUCAUUUAUUCAUUUUGGUUUAAUCUGCUGAGACGGAGAGGCAGUCUCCAGAAGGAAACAAUCUGCGGUGGAGAGGAACGAGCUCAAGCUCUGGGUACAGCGCUCUGUGGCCUUUGAACAUCGACAAA
RNAcentral lists this long non-coding RNA (416 nucleotides) under Bos taurus (domestic cattle). RNAcentral describes it as "long non-coding RNA NONBTAT017380". Lineage: Eukaryota; Metazoa; Chordata; Mammalia; Artiodactyla; Bovidae. The record is from RNAcentral.